Molecule: long non-coding RNA, 1128 nt
Organism: Oncorhynchus tshawytscha (Chinook salmon)
Lineage: Eukaryota; Metazoa; Chordata; Actinopteri; Salmoniformes; Salmonidae
Source: Ensembl
GCGAUUUCAAGACGUAGUACCGCCAGUCGAUUGGAACCACGUAAGAAUAAAAACAAUUCAGCCUCGACCACGCACACAAAUAGCCUCAGUCUGCGAGUUGCCUAGCAACUAGGCUCCGCUCUGGUUUGCCAGUUGCCCACUGACUAGAGACAGCCAUUCGUUGAGACUAAUCCUGCUGCUGACCUUGACACCCGUUUUAGUAGUACAGAUCCCAGAGGCCCAUUGGAUGAAAACUAUCAGCCGGGAACAAGCUCAACAUCAUCUGGUUUGGAUGAGGAAAAAGGACUUCAUGAGGCUGGCAAGAGACAAAGUGUUCAGUCUGAGUCCAAGGUCAUACAGCUCAUGAAGUUCUGCCAGACCAGCUGCCAUUGGCCCAACCAACACAAGACGAUGCACACCAGCUGAAGAACAUUCCGGACCCUGUCUGGAACAUUCAGCCAACAAAACAUCUAUAUUGUUGUACUGAUGUUGUAGUAUAAUGUAGAAUACCUAGUAUACCCACAACUGUAAUGUUGAUUUGAGUAGCAGCAGAAACCAAUAAUGUUGACUUCCAAAUUCUGGAUUAAUUCAUUGUGAUAUUUAAGAAAUGUAUUCAGAAGUAACUUGCUACAAUCUUACUGAUGAAAAAAAAAAAAAAAAUGAUACAGAGAGACCAACCAUUGACGUCAUGGUUUGAACACACCCAGCACGCAAACAAAAAAAUCCCAAAUACCUCUCAUCACUCAUAAUUAUUUAGGGAGACUGGGAAAACACUCCAAAUAGUGUCUAGCUGUGAAUGUUACCUUUAAAAUGUCUGUGCUGGGAAAUGUAUCAAGAUCACCCAUGUUGCACAAGCCUUAAACUUACAUAAAUAUGUAAAUAAUAAUAAUAAUAACUUACCUGACUUCCCUAGUUAAACAACAUUUAAGCCUUAUAGCCUGUCAGGUUGAUUGCAGAAUGUUAGCCUACAUUUCUGAAAUUGUUGAUUAUUUCAUCUCAAGAUUUUAACCCAUUUGAAACUGAAUGAAUGAGACUGGCGCUGUAAUAUUUGAUGAGGCUGAGAUAUUUACGAAUCGGAGAGGGACUCUUUUCUGCGUUAUCCCAUUGGUCAAUGUCACUGCAGUGUGCCUCCUGCAGGCAGGCGGAUCG